GCCUGGCUAGCUCAGUUGGUAGAGCAUGGGACUCUUAAUCGCAGGAUUGUGGGUUUGUGUCCCACGUUGGGGG
RNAcentral lists this transfer RNA (73 nucleotides) under Pangasius djambal. Its description in RNAcentral is "tRNA-Lys". It matches the Rfam family "tRNA". From Rfam's summary of the family: Transfer RNA (tRNA) molecules are approximately 80 nucleotides in length. Their secondary structure includes four short double-helical elements and three loops (D, anti-codon, and T loops). The record is from RNAcentral. Lineage: Eukaryota; Metazoa; Chordata; Actinopteri; Siluriformes; Pangasiidae.